Pollicipes pollicipes is the source of this 398-nucleotide long non-coding RNA. RefSeq lists it as uncharacterized. The transcript has 3 exons. The record is from RefSeq and is a predicted model, not a curated record. Lineage: Eukaryota; Metazoa; Arthropoda; Thecostraca; Pollicipedomorpha; Pollicipedidae.
AGCCCGAGCGUCGCUGGCCGGUGAGCCAGUGUCCGGCGGCGGCGCUCUGGCACGCGGUGCACCUGCUGCCGGAGUGUGCCGUGCUGGUCGUCACCGAUGCCACCCAGCUGACGGACGGCGGCGCCUUCCGGGCCGUCACAGUCGUGCUCACCUCGCAGGACCUGCGGCUGCUGGCCGACGCCGAGCUGGAGUCGGCCGCCAGCUGGAGCGCCGUGUUCCGGCUGACCGAGACGGAGCUGUGCGGCUCGCAGGCGGACCCCACCGAGGUGGCGGUGUGUCGGCGGUCCGGCCCGCUCGGCUCGCCUCUGCCCUCCUCCGCCCUCUCAGACUCGGCGGACACGUACGUGGCGGAGUACGUGCGCGGAGCGGCGCAGCUGGGCGCCGAGCCGGGCCGGCCG